Molecule: small RNA, 27 nt
Filed under: Bombyx mori (domestic silkworm)
Lineage: Eukaryota; Metazoa; Arthropoda; Insecta; Lepidoptera; Bombycidae
Description: ovarian small RNA-4465
Source: RNAcentral
ACUGACAUCAAUAGCCGAUGGAUUUCG